Molecule: ribosomal RNA, 253 nt
Filed under: uncultured bacterium
Lineage: Bacteria
Description: partial 16S ribosomal RNA
Rfam family: Bacterial small subunit ribosomal RNA
Source: RNAcentral
UACGAAGGGGGCUAGCGUUGCUCGGAAUCACUGGGCGUAAAGCGCACGUAGGCGGCAUUGCAAGUCGGAUGUGAAAUCUUAUGGCUUAACCAUAAAAGUGCAUCCGAAACUGCAGUGCUUGAGUACUUAAGAGGAUCGCGGAAUUCCCGGUGUAGAGGUGAAAUUCGUAGAUAUCGGGAGGAACACCAGUGGCGAAGGCGGCGAUCUGGGAAGAUACUGACGCUGAGGUGCGAAAGCGUGGGGAGCAAACAGG